UACAGAGGUGCCGAGCGUUAGGCGGAAUUACUGGGCGUAAAGCGUGCGCAGGCGGCUUUGCAAGACAGAUGUGAAAUCCCCGGGCUUAACCUGGGAACUGCAUUUGUGACUGCAUGGCUGGAGUGCGGCAGAGGGGGAUGGAAUUCCGCGUGUAGCAGUGAAAUGCGUAGAUAUGCGGAGGAACACCGAUGGCGAAGGCAAUCCCCUGGGCCUGCACUGACGCUCAUGCACGAAAGCGUGGGGAGCAAACAGG
RNAcentral lists this ribosomal RNA (253 nucleotides) under uncultured bacterium. RNAcentral's name for it is "partial 16S ribosomal RNA". It matches the Rfam family "Bacterial small subunit ribosomal RNA", at positions 524 to 776 of the family's 1533-position model. The record is from RNAcentral.